RNAcentral lists this ribosomal RNA (241 nucleotides) under uncultured bacterium. RNAcentral's name for it is "partial 16S ribosomal RNA". It matches the Rfam family "Bacterial small subunit ribosomal RNA", at positions 100 to 334 of the family's 1533-position model. The record is from RNAcentral.
CGGAACGGGUGAGUAACACGUGAGUAACCUCGCCCCCUUCCUUCUGGAUAACCGCAUGAAAGUGUGGCUAAUACGGGAUAUUCUGCGCCUGCUGCAUGGUGGGUGUGGGAAAGAUAUUGUUUCGGUGGGGGAUGGGCUCGCGGCCUAUCAGCUUGUUGGUGGGGUGAUGGCCUACCAAGGCGGUGACGGGUAGUCGGCCUGAGGGGGUGGACGGUCACACUGGGACUGAGACACGGCCCAG